This 614-nucleotide ribosomal RNA is filed under the name uncultured Alternaria. RNAcentral's name for it is "SSU rRNA". It matches the Rfam family "Eukaryotic small subunit ribosomal RNA", at positions 585 to 1204 of the family's 1831-position model. The record is from RNAcentral. Lineage: Eukaryota; Fungi; Ascomycota; Dothideomycetes; Pleosporales; Pleosporaceae.
CCAGCUCCAAUAGCGUAUAUUAAAGUUGUUGCAGUUAAAAAGCUCGUAGUUGAAACUUGGGCCUGGCUGGCGGGUCCGCCUCACCGCGUGCACUCGUCCGGCCGGGCCUUCCUUCUGAAGAACCUCAUGCCCUUCACUGGGCGUGCUGGGGAAUCAGGACUUUUACUUUGAAAAAAUUAGAGUGUUCAAAGCAGGCCUUUGCUCGAAUACGUUAGCAUGGAAUAAUAAAAUAGGGCGUGCGUUUCUAUUUUGUUGGUUCCUAGAGACGCCGCAAUGAUUAACAGGAACAGUCGGGGGCAUCAGUAUUCAGUUGUCAGAGGUGAAAUUCUUGGAUUUACUGAAGACUAACUACUGCGAAAGCAUUUGCCAAGGAUGUUUUCAUUAAUCAGUGAACGAAAGUUAGGGGAUCGAAGACGAUCAGAUACCGUCGUAGUCUUAACCGUAAACUAUGCCGACUAGGGAUCGGGCGAUGUUCUUUUUCUGACUCGCUCGGCACCUUACGAGAAAUCAAAGUUUUUGGGUUCUGGGGGGAUUAUGGUCGCAAGGCUGAAACUUAAAGAAAUUGACGGAAGGUCACCACCAGGCGUGGAGCCUGCGGCUUAAUUCGACUCAAC